Molecule: ribosomal RNA, 253 nt
Filed under: uncultured bacterium
Lineage: Bacteria
Description: partial 16S ribosomal RNA
Rfam family: Bacterial small subunit ribosomal RNA
Source: RNAcentral
UACGUAGGGCGCAAGCGUUAUCCGGAAUUAUUGGGCGUAAAGAGCUCGUAGGCGGUUUGUCGCGUCUGCCGUGAAAGCCCGGGGCUCAACUCCGGAUCUGCGGUGGGUACGGUCAGUCUAGAGUGAUGUAGGGGAGACUGGAAUUCCUGGUGUAGCGGUGAAAUGCGCAGAUAUCAGGAGGAACACCGAUGGCGAAGGCAGGUCUCUGGGCAUUAACUGACGCUGAGGAGCGAAAGCAUGGGGAGCGAACAGG